GGAUAAAAUGGCUGAAGUUUAAGCAUGGAAUUGUAAAUUCUUUUAUGAUGUGUAUCUUUUAUC
Molecule: transfer RNA, 63 nt
Filed under: Melanastera paucipunctata
Lineage: Eukaryota; Metazoa; Arthropoda; Insecta; Hemiptera; Liviidae
Description: Diclidophlebia paucipunctata tRNA-Tyr
Source: RNAcentral